RNAcentral lists this long non-coding RNA (1074 nucleotides) under Olea europaea subsp. europaea. Lineage: Eukaryota; Viridiplantae; Streptophyta; Magnoliopsida; Lamiales; Oleaceae. The record is from RNAcentral.
CCCACAUCGAAAAUUAGAUUAUAAUUAAAAAUUUUAAUAUUAAUAAUAAUAUUAUAAAAUUAAUAUAAUUUACAUUAACCACCAUCAUUACCCUAAUCACUUUUCCCUUCUUCUCUCUCUCUCUACCUCUGUCCUCUCUCUUCAUUCCGACAACUUCCUUCAUCGAUGGUGCCCAGCUCUUCGGGGUCUUACCUCUACCGCAAGUCCGCAGAUCUCCGACAACUUACCUCCACCGCAAAGAGAGGCAUGCCCUUCUCCCGCCUCUCUCCUCCCCAUCCUCUAUUCUCUGUGGCCACCGUCGUGAGAAGCAGCCUUUGACAGUCGCUGUGCGCGGCUCAAAGUACAUCGCUCUAUGCUGCUGACAAGAUGCGACGUUGUGCACAACCAGGAUGUGUGCCGCAGUCGUAGCCGUCGUAACAUUUGUGAGGUGAUUUCUUCGAUCUGCUGCUUUACCGAAAUUUGGGGAUUUUUUUUGUUUUUUUGGUGAUUGUUGCGGGUUUGGGUGUUUUGUUGUUGAGGUGGCGGCUGUGGUAUGGUAGUGUUGUAUGAGAUGGUGGAUUUCUAGCAGGCGACGGUGGUGGUUUGUGUGGAGGUUGAUUGGAGUCGCAGAUGGAGGUGGAGGUGGCCAGUGAUUGUUAAAGCAUGCAAUUGUGGUUGUGAAAUGUGGCAGCGAUGAAUUUGGUUAGAGUCACAGUUGGUCUCUGAGGUGGUCGUGGUGGUAUUAGCAGUGUUCGUGGUGGUUUGGUUGACUUGUGACUCACAAUUGAAUUCGUGACCUGAAAAUUGUGACUGUGACUCGUAUUGGAUACGUGACCUAAAAAUUGUGACUGUGAAUCGUAAGUGUUGGUGGUAGUCACAAAUUAUUUGGUUGACUAUGACCAUUAAAAUGGUUAAUCUGUGACCAAUGAAAAAAAUAAAUUGUGAUCGAAAAAUAAUAUGUGAUCUAAAAAAUUGUUAAUCUGUGUACGAUAAUUUUAUAAUUUGUGACUUGUAAUAUUUGUGAUUUUGACUUAUACAUUUUUUUUAUUUGUGGCCGAUGAACAAAAUGUGACCUAUAAACUUUUUGAAUUGUGA